Molecule: ribosomal RNA, 449 nt
Filed under: uncultured bacterium
Lineage: Bacteria
Description: partial 16S ribosomal RNA
Rfam family: Bacterial small subunit ribosomal RNA
Source: RNAcentral
AACGAACGCUGGCGGCAGGCUUAACACAUGCAAGUCGAACGCAUCCUUCGGGGUGAGUGGCAGACGGGUGAGUAACGCGUGGGAACGUGCCCUUCAGUUCGGGAUAACCCAGGGAAACUUGGGCUAAUACCGGAUACGUGCGAGAGCAGAAAGAUUUUUCGCUGAAGGAUCGGCCCGCGUCUGAUUAGCUAGUUGGUGGGGUAAUGGCCCACCAAGGCGACGAUCAGUAGCUGGUCGGCGAGGAUGAUCAGCCACAGUGGGACUGAGACACGGGCCAAACGCCUACGGGAGGCAGCAGUGGGGAAUAUUGGACAAUGGGCGCAAGCCUGAUCCAGCCAUGCCGCGUGAGUGAUGAAGGCCUUAGGGUUGUAAAGCUCUUUCGUCCGGGACGAUAAUGACGGUACCGGAAGAAGAAGCCCCGGCUAACUUCGUGCCAGCAGCCGCCGUAA